UCUGCCUCUAGAGUCAUAGUGGGUGUGGGCUGCUGUGUCAUUCGCGCAGCAGUCGGUGGCAGAGAUGAGAGAGACUACGUCUAUGAUCUGACCUGUGAGCAUCUGAAUGAUUAGUCGCCUGACAUU
Small nucleolar RNA from Rattus rattus (black rat), 126 nucleotides. RefSeq annotates it as small nucleolar RNA SNORA17. The transcript has a single exon. The record is from RefSeq and is a predicted model, not a curated record. NCBI's taxonomy places the organism in Eukaryota, Metazoa, Chordata, Mammalia, Rodentia, Muridae.